UACAGAGGAUGCAAGCGUUGUCCGGAAUCAUUGGGCGUAAAGCGCGCGUAGGUGGCCCCAUAAGUCCGCUGUGAAAGUCAAAGGCUCAACCUUUGAAAGCCGGUGGAUACUGUGGGACUAGAGUACGGAAGAGGCGAGUGGAAUUCCUGGUGUAGCGGUGGAAUGCGCAGAUAUCAGGAGGAACACCAAUUGCGAAGGCAGCUCGCUGGGACGUUACUGACGCUGAGACGCGAAAGCGUGGGGAGCAAACAGG
This 253-nucleotide ribosomal RNA is filed under the name uncultured bacterium. RNAcentral describes it as "partial 16S ribosomal RNA". It matches the Rfam family "Bacterial small subunit ribosomal RNA", at positions 524 to 776 of the family's 1533-position model. The record is from RNAcentral.